This 474-nucleotide ribosomal RNA is filed under the name uncultured prokaryote. RNAcentral's name for it is "bacterial SSU rRNA". It matches the Rfam family "Bacterial small subunit ribosomal RNA", at positions 442 to 905 of the family's 1533-position model. The record is from RNAcentral.
GGAAAGAAGUGCGCGUGAGCUCAUCUGUCCCUGGAUGUGACGGCACCCUCAAAAGAAUCACCGGAUAUCUCCGUGCCAGCAGCCGCGGUAAUACGGGGGGUGCAAGCGUUGUUCGGAUUUAUUGGGCGUAAAGCGCGUGUAGGCGGUUUUAUAAGUCUGAUGUGAAAGCCCUGGGCUCAACCCGGGAAGUGCAUUGGAUACUGUAAGACUUGAAUACGGGAGAGGGUAGUGGAAUUCCUAGUGUAGGAGUGAAAUCCGUAGAUAUUAGGAGGAACACCGGUGGCGAAGGCGGCUACCUGGACCGAUAUUGACGCUGAGACGCGAAAGCGUGGGUAGCAAACAGGAUUAGAUACCCUGGUAGUCCACGCCGUAAACGAUGAGAACUAGGUGUUGCGGGUAUUGACCCCUGCAGUGCCGUAGCUAACGCAUUAAGUUCUCCGCCUGGGAAGUCGGUCGCAAAGACUAAAACUCAAA